This 253-nucleotide ribosomal RNA is filed under the name uncultured bacterium. Its description in RNAcentral is "partial 16S ribosomal RNA". It matches the Rfam family "Bacterial small subunit ribosomal RNA", at positions 524 to 776 of the family's 1533-position model. The record is from RNAcentral.
UACGAAGGGGGCUAGCGUUGCUCGGAAUGACUGGGCGUAAAGGGCGCGUAGGCGGUUCACACAGUCAGGCGUGAAAUUCCUGGGCUUAACCUGGGGGCUGCGUUUGAUACGUGUGGGCUAGAGUGAGGAAGAGGGUCGUGGAAUUCCCAGUGUAGAGGUGAAAUUCGUAGAUAUUGGGAAGAACACCGGUGGCGAAGGCGGCGACCUGGUCCUUGACUGACGCUGAGGCGCGAAAGCGUGGGGAGCAAACAGG